GACGAACGCUGGCGGCGUGCCUAAUACAUGCAAGUUGAGCGCUGAAGGUUGGUACUUGUACCAACUGGAUGAGCAGCGAACGGGUGAGUAACGCGUGGGGAAUCUGCCUUUGAGCGGGGGACAACAUUUGGAAACGAAUGCUAAUACCGCAUAAAAACUUUAAACACAAGUUUUAAGUUUGAAAGAUGCAAUUGCAUCACUCAAAGAUGAUCCCGCGUUGUAUUAGCUAGUUGGUGAGGUAAAGGCUCACCAAGGCGAUGAUACAUAGCCGACCUGAGAGGGGGAUCGGCCACAUUGGGACUGAGACACGGCCCAAACUCCUACGGGAGGCAGCAGGAGGGAAUCUUCGGCAAUGGACGAAAGUCUGAACGAGCAACGCCGCGUGAGUGAAGAAGGUUGUCGGAUCGUAAAACUCUGUUGGUAGAGAAGAACGUUGGUGAGAGUGGAAAGCUCAUCAAGUGACGGUAACUACCCAGAAAGGGACGGCUAACUACGUG
RNAcentral lists this ribosomal RNA (497 nucleotides) under uncultured bacterium. Its description in RNAcentral is "partial 16S ribosomal RNA". It matches the Rfam family "Bacterial small subunit ribosomal RNA", at positions 28 to 507 of the family's 1533-position model. The record is from RNAcentral.